This 492-nucleotide ribosomal RNA is filed under the name uncultured bacterium. Its description in RNAcentral is "partial 16S ribosomal RNA". It matches the Rfam family "Bacterial small subunit ribosomal RNA", at positions 29 to 507 of the family's 1533-position model. The record is from RNAcentral.
AGUGAACGCUGGCGGUAGGCCUAACACAUGCAAGUCGAACGGCAGCACAGUAAGAGCUUGCUCUUACGGGUGGCGAGUGGCGGACGGGUGAGGAAUACAUCGGAAUCUACUUUUUCGUGGGGGAUAACGUAGGGAAACUUACGCUAAUACCGCAUACGACCUACGGGUGAAAGCAGGGGAUCUUCGGACCUUUCGCGAUUGAAUGAGCCGAUGUCGGAUUAGCUAGUUGGCGGGGUAAAGGCCCACCAAGGCGACGCUCCGUAGCUGGUCUGAGAGGAUGAUCAGCCACACUGGAACUGAGACACGGUCCAGACUCCUACGGGAGGCAGCAGUGGGGAAUAUUGGACAAUGGGCGAAAGCCUGAUCCAGCCAUACCGCGUGGGUGAAGAAGGCCUUCGGGUUGUAAAGCCCUUUUGUUGGGAAAGAAAAGCAGCAGGUUAAUACCCCGCUGUUCUGACGGUACCCAAAGAAUAAGCACCGGCUAACUUCGUG